AUCUGGCCCGCAGCUGACUUGAGUUUGAGACCCCUGUUGUAAACUGAUGAAAUAGGUCCCACACAAAAGCCUUUUUUGCUUUACAUAAGGAAUCAAUCUGAUUUUGGACCUUCCCUGAUCCAAAGUUGAAAGAGAAACAUGGUGAAAACUCUGAUCAAUGUGAGACUAGUGCAAACAAUUAUGUUUUUUAUUUUUAACCAAACAUUGUAAAUUGUAACACAAAUUGAGGACCAAGUGGCAGAAUAGAAUAAAAACGUCCGUACAUCAGAGAAAAGGGCUGACAAGGAGCAAUGACUGUGCGUUUUAAUGCUUAAAAACUACUUCUACAUGAAUGCUUUCAGUCUAUUUGUAAAUAUUCGGAAGGUGUGAGAUUGACCAGUCAUGCCUUAGUAGCAUCAGGAAGAGGGGCAGAAUAAUAGAAAUGACUAAAUGCUGUUAUUUUCAAGUCUUAUAUAAUUAUAGUAGAGACAAUUUCCAAAAAUAAGGGACAUAUUUUUCUCUUGUGUUAUUAUGUGUAUAUGAUAAGAGAUACCUAAUCUGUGUUAAUUUGUGAUGACAAACUGGGAUUCAAGACAUCUAUACUCUGACAACCAGUUUAAUGACACUCCACUCCUGUUAUGUUCACUGAAUUAACUUAACCUGAGAAACCGCAAUGCAAGGUUAUUAAGUAACCUUAAAAACAGUAAACAUACUUUGGGAGUUUAUUUGGAAAAGGCUUUGUUUGUGAUGUGAAGACUUCCAGACAAACUGAUGUUAAUCUGCCAUGAGAAGCUGACAUUUAGAAAAAAAAUGGUCAAAAAAAGUAUGGAAAAUCAUAGUAUAGCAAUAAAUCAAUGUAAUCAAAGGUAUCUUGUUUUGAGUACAAUAGACAGGAUCCACAGUGGGUUUCUCUAAAAAGGCAAUUGAGUAAAUAUUUAUUCAUUUAUGUCCAGUAAAAGCAAAGGCAACAGGAUAAUGAUUUGCUGUAAACAUUCAUCUGAACAAAGCAUCCCUCUAUUCACGCUAGUUACCGAGCGGAGGAUCUGCUCUGCAGUGGUCUCUGCUUGUCUGUUGUUGAAAUGACCCGCUCACAUUCUGUACAGUCUUUGAAGUUCUUACUUCCCUUUGAAGAAAACUGACACACAGCAAAUGAUCUGAUCUGCAUAAACACGGGUUCACACACCUUAAUUACAUGUAUUUCUCUCCAACCGUGUUUACAGGCAGGUAAUAAAAGAUACAAGAACAUUUGCUUUGGCUCUUUUUGUUUUCUUUGCUCAAGGUCGAACCCAGGCUCUGCUUCAUUUGUAAGGUAGAUUAAUGGUCUUGUUAUUUAUUUUUCUGUAAAGUUCUGUAAAGUGUGUUGUCUUAUAAAAUGAUAAUUAGUAGACUGGAGCAAGCAGUGAUUUUAAUCUGUUUUAAUUUUCCCCUAACAGAGAAGAAAAAUGCACUGAUAAAGUCUUGUCAGUUAUAAAACCUGCUGGACAUAGUCAUCAACAUGUUUUGCAUCCUUAUGACAUACAUGAUAAUAAGGGCUGACAGCGGGGUCAGAGUGGCUUGUCCUUCUAUCAGAGGAAUCGGUGUACCCGGGCUACCCUUGUCCCAUGUUUUUGUGUCCUUGAGCAGGAAAAUGAAUCCCAAAUCUCCCCAGCCCAUUUACUGCCUGGAGAAAUUCCACUACCGAGCAAUGACCAUUCUUGUAGUCCGAGGGGUAAGGUCAAAAUGAUGACUUGAGUUAUAGAUCAUUGUGUGCAUAAUUCUAUGUAGUGUAUAUAUGUACAUUUCACUAAUAUAAAUGAAAACUUUGCUGCUUCCUGUAGAGCUAGAUCUAAAGUGGAUGCGAAAAGUAUUUUGAUUUCAUCCUCUACACACCUCAAGUGGCAGCACCACAUUUCAUGGCGAUCCAAGUCUGAUGCAUACAAUUCUAACAUGUCAAAGUGUGUUAUGGUGAUGCAAAAACAAAAUUAGAAGGAUUGGCUAAAUAGUCAAAUCGUGGGGACGACGGUUUCUUUUUUUUUUUUUAAAUGUAAUCGUUAUCCCUAGAAUAUACAACUAAACCUAUCUUUCCCUGAGGCCAGACCUACAAGUCCACUGAUUUGAUUGGUUCACUUGGCAUACCAUGCAAAAUAUGGAUGUAGUCCAUACCACACUGUCACGGUGCGGAUUCUUGGGGGGGGGGCCGUACACCACACACACAAACGUCACUUAAAGCUUGGUUCACGAAUGGCCGUGACCGUCUUUGCAGUGACUACAGCCUUCCCUUCCCAACUGGCCUCACUUCUUUUUUUUACACAGAAAGCGUGUCAGGUUCAGGUGGCUCCGCUGGUCUGUGGUCAUUUGUCAGGUAAAAGCAUAUUCCAGUGCCAUACAGAAGUGGAAGACAUUACCAGGCAAUAGCUACGUCUGAUAUCUGGCAAUGCCCAUCCAACCUUUGGACUUUUUGAUUCAUAUUGACGUACAUGCAACUAUCACAGAUAAGUUAUUGUUUUUUUUAUUCUCUUAAAUACAUUUUGAUAUGAAAAAAAGUUUGUGUCUGAGUUAAAUAUGCUGACCUUUUUUUGUUUUUGUAUCAUCCAAGCUGCUUUUUUGAUUAUUUUCCAGCUACCCACAGCAGCAGAAGCAAAAAGAUAUUUUUGCACACAGCACCAAAAUGAUCCAGCUCUCCCUCUCUGAUCACAUUCAGCUGG
Long non-coding RNA from Gasterosteus aculeatus aculeatus (three-spined stickleback), 2663 nucleotides. NCBI's taxonomy places the organism in Eukaryota, Metazoa, Chordata, Actinopteri, Perciformes, Gasterosteidae. The record is from Ensembl.